RNAcentral lists this long non-coding RNA (2258 nucleotides) under Sorghum bicolor (sorghum). Its description in RNAcentral is "long non-coding RNA (SBIC_LNC012059)". Lineage: Eukaryota; Viridiplantae; Streptophyta; Magnoliopsida; Poales; Poaceae. The record is from RNAcentral.
CACGUGAUAUACGAGAAAGAUUUGGUUCAGGUAAUUAUGCAUGUGGUUCAAGCAUCUAUCUAAAAAAAUUGUGACCACUGCCACCAUUGUGAAGUGUUCCAUAAAUAUGUUUAAUAUCCUUUGCCAUUGCCAAGACACAUGUUUUUUUCUCUACACAUUCCUUUGAACGCAGAUGCUCAAAAUUGGGGACAACAUUGACAUACCCUGGAUUGCCAAAGCACUGGAUUGUUGCACGGCAACACCAAAGUGUAGAGGCACAAGCUUGCAUUGAGGGGAUGGCAUGAGGUUAGGUUCAGCGGCAACUACUUAAGGUCUUGUUUUUCUAUCCCAACUAAUAAUUUUUGGUUUGCUUCGUCAUGUUAUUUUGGGAAGCAAGACAUGUCAUUAUCUACAAUUGCCUUGGGUACAAAAGCUUUGUCAAAUUGUUUGCAAGGUUCAGAAGGAGCUGCUCCUUUUAUUGACUAAAAUUAUAAAAACAGUACCUACUGCAAGAGAGAUUGAAUCUAAUUCUAAUGCAUUUUGGGGACUCUGGUUGUAAUGAUAAAGUUUAAAAAACGCUGGCCAUAUUGAAUUAAUCUUGCUCGAUGUUGCCUCUCCUGCCAAUUUGCCAUAUAAGUUGAUUGGUUCUGUCUCAUCUAUUUAGCUAUUGCACACCAAUUAUAUUGCAUGCAGACUCAUCAGGCUUACUUUAUAAGUGUACUUUACUAAUAAUUAGUGUUACCUAUAACGCUAUGACACUAAAAACGACAUCCUUAUUCUUUUUUGCAAUGUUUCCUUCUCGACUGCAUAUGUCGAGUGCUUUCCGCAAGCCAUCUGAAAAAAAGGUUUAAAAUGUUGCUACUUUUUUUUGCAUUAGAAGAACAUUAAUUCCUCAAAACAAAAUAAAGGUUUUGUACGAAUGUUUGUGUAUUUGUUAAAACAUUUUGACUCAGUAAAUAAAGUCCCUUUUGUAUUUCUUCUUCUUCUCUAUUACGAAUAUAAUCAAAUUUACUAUUUUGCUUCAAAUGAUUUGUUUUCUAUUAAUCCCCUUACUCCAGUCAGUGUUUCUUCGUAUAUCUCUUACAUCACUUAGUUUCAAAUUAGACAUGGUUAUGAAAACAAAUACUUUAGAUUACUGACUCAUAAACAAUUGAACAGGUUUAUCUAAAUCAAUUGGGUGUCAUUUGAAGCUAUUCCAACUUAAGCUGGUGUUGGCUCCUUUCAGCCUGCACAAAAGGAGAGAAGUGCUAUAUUAGAGUGAACAUGAUCCUUGCCACCAGCAAGUAACAGGGGAAGGUGAGGUGAGAAUUAGAAUUGUCUUCAAUUUUAGGUGUUCAUGCCGCUUCAUUUAGAGCACCUUGAGGAAGUUCGUGUCUUAGGAUGAUUAGUAUAGCUAUAGCUUACCUUAUUUGUGGAAGGCUGCAAAAUCUAGAUUUUACCAUCGCAUCAAUUUUAAAGUUCAAAGGUCCAAUUCAAGACUGCCAUGACUUGGCUACAUCACUUAAAGUAAAAGAGUCAACAAAAUUUAAGUUCCUAACAGAGUUGCUUUUCUCUAAAACUAUUUUUAGCUGCAAAGGAGUGCCUUAAUAGAAUAUUGAAAUCUCACAUGUGUUACAAAUAUGUAAUAGUUGAUGCUAAUAAUUCUGUAUUGACAUUUUCGUAGGCCACUAAUGAAUUUUCCAUAAGAAACAAAAGACAAUUUCUUCGUUUUUGCUUUGUAUAUAUGUGACUGACAUGUCAAUGAUUUUUUUCCCUCCUAUGACGCUCUUGCCCUUGUGAUGUGUCUUUACAGCACACCAUUUUAGAUCAGAUAUAACCUCUUACUAACACUAGCACAGUUCUUCCCAAACAACGCCUCACUGUUCACAUCUCCGGAAUACCACCACAUCGCUAUUGUGAUUUCACAGUCCACUGUCUUCUCAGUGAAACAUGCACAAUCCAUGCCAUCUCAUUUUGUCAUGCAACAUUAUCGUACUCAGUUGAUGUUCAUGGAUCACAAACCCUCAUGUCUCAAGCAGCACAUGUAGCACUUAGUAUGAUAACACGCUAUGGUUGUCUCCUCAACAUUUGGCCAAUAUGGUAUGACACAUAUAUGGAAGAAAUGCUUGGCCGACUAUCCUCGACAACCUAUGACCGGAUGCCAUCUUUGCAUGGAGGUAUUCACAUCCACAUCUGCAGUCUAAAUGAAAAAAAUAAUAGCACAACAUAAGUCGAAAACAAGAGAAGCUCUCUUUUUUUUUCUCACCAUCUUUUACUUGACCAUUUACAGGAGACACUCA